ACCAUUGUCUUAACUAUGACUGAGUUUCACUAUGGUGACUGCUGUGGGUUUUCUAAGGGUUUCCCUUUGUGCCUUGCAAAUUAUGAGUACACAUGGCUUCCCAACUAAAGACUCGGUAUCCCAAGAUGAGAGCAGCAGUGGUGCCCAUCCUAGUUCUCACCGGGGUGGAGCCAACGGCCGCCAUACACCCAAGUCUUAUGUCUCCAGGCCAGUACAGAUGAUUGGACAAGCUCCCAGUUU
Nematolebias whitei (Rio pearlfish) is the source of this 240-nucleotide long non-coding RNA. RefSeq lists it as uncharacterized. The record is from RefSeq and is a predicted model, not a curated record. Lineage: Eukaryota; Metazoa; Chordata; Actinopteri; Cyprinodontiformes; Rivulidae. The transcript is spliced from 3 exons.